UAGGGAAUCUUCCACAAUGGACGCAAGUCUGAUGGAGCAACGCCGCGUGAGUGAAGAAGGUUUUCGGACCGUAAAGCUCUGUUGUUGGUGAAGAAGGAUAGAGGUAGUAACUGGCCUUUAUUUGACGGUAAUCAACCAGAAAGUCACGGCUAACUACGUGCCAGCAGCCGCGGUAAUACGUAGGUGGCAAGCGUUGUCCGGAUUUAUUGGGCGUAAAGCGAGCGCAGGCGGAAGAAUAAGUCUGAUGUGAAAGCCCUCGGCUUAACCGAGGAAUUGCAUCGGAAACUGUUUUUCUUGAGUGCAGAAGAGGAGAGUAGAACUCCAUGUGUAGCGGUGGAAUGCGUAGAUAUAUGGAAGAAUACCAGUGGCGAAGGCGGCUCUCUGGUCUGCAACUGACGCUGAGGCUCGAAAGCAUGGGUAGCGAACAGGAUUAGAUACCCUGGUAGUCCAUGCCGUAAACGAUGAGUGCUAAGUG
This 475-nucleotide ribosomal RNA is filed under the name uncultured bacterium. Its description in RNAcentral is "partial 16S ribosomal RNA". It matches the Rfam family "Bacterial small subunit ribosomal RNA", at positions 355 to 822 of the family's 1533-position model. The record is from RNAcentral.